GAACGCUGGCGGCAGGCCUAACACAUGCAAGUCGAACGGUAACAGGAAGCAGCUUGCUGCUUUGCUGACGAGUGGCGGACGGGUGAGUAAUGUCUGGGAAACUGCCUGAUGGAGGGGGAUAACUACUGGAAACGGUGGCUAAUACCGCAUAACGUCGCAAGACCAAAGAGGGGGACCUUCGGGCCUCUUGCCAUCAGAUGUGCCCAGAUGGGAUUAGCUUGUUGGUGAGGUAACGGCUCACCAAGGCGACGAUCCCUAGCUGGUCUGAGAGGAUGACCAGCCACACUGGAACUGAGACACGGUCCAGACUCCUACGGGAGGCAGCAGUGGGGAAUAUUGCACAAUGGGCGCAAGCCUGAUGCAGCCAUGCCGCGUGUAUGAAGAAGGCCUUCGGGUUGUAAAGUACUUUCAGCGGGGAGGAAGGUGUUGUGGUUAAUAACCGCAGCAAUUGACGUUACCCGCAGAAGAAGCACCGGCUAACUCCGUGCCAGCAGCCGCGGUAAUACGGAGGGUGCAAGCGUUAAUCGGAAUUACUGGGCGUAAAGCGCACGCAGGCGGUCUGUCAAGUCGGAUGUGAAAUCCCCGGGCUCAACCUGGGAACUGCAUUCGAAACUGGCAGGCUUGAGUCUUGUAGAGGGGGGUAGAAUUCCAGGUGUAGCGGUGAAAUGCGUAGAGAUCUGGAGGAAUACCGGUGGCGAAGGCGGCCCCCUGGACAAAGACUGACGCUCAGGUGCGAAAGCGUGGGGAGCAAACAGGAUUAGAUACCCUGGUAGUCCACGCCGUAAACGAUGUCUACUUGGAGGUUGUGCCCUUGAGGCGUGGCUUCCGGAGCUAACGCGUUAAGUAGACCGCCUGGGGAGUACGGCCGCAAGGUUAAAACUCAAAUGAAUUGACGGGGGCCCGCACAAGCGGUGGAGCAUGUGGUUUAAUUCGAUGCAACGCGAAGAACCUUACCUGGUCUUGACAUCCACAGAAGAAUCCAGAGAUGGAUUUGUGCCUUCGGGAACUGUGAGACAGGUGCUGCAUGGCUGUCGUCAGCUCGUGUUGUGAAAUGUUGGGUUAAGUCCCGCAACGAGCGCAACCCUUAUCCUUUGUUGCCAGCGGUUAGGCCGGGAACUCAAAGGAGACUGCCAGUGAUAAACUGGAGGAAGGUGGGGAUGACGUCAAGUCAUCAUGGCCCUUACGACCAGGGCUACACACGUGCUACAAUGGCGCAUACAAAGAGAAGCGACCUCGCGAGAGCAAGCGGACCUCAUAAAGUGCGUCGUAGUCCGGAUUGGAGUCUGCAACUCGACUCCAUGAAGUCGGAAUCGCUAGUAAUCGUGGAUCAGAAUGCCACGGUGAAUACGUUCCCGGGCCUUGUACACACCGCCCGUCACACCAUGGGAGUGGGUUGCAAAAGAAGUAGGUAGCUUAACCUUCGGGAGGGCGCUUACCACUUUGUGAUUCAUGACUGGGGUGAAGUCGUAACAAGGUAACCGUAGGGGAACCUGCGGUUGGA
Molecule: ribosomal RNA, 1501 nt
Filed under: Salmonella enterica
Lineage: Bacteria; Pseudomonadati; Pseudomonadota; Gammaproteobacteria; Enterobacterales; Enterobacteriaceae
Also listed under: 1 other name
Description: bacterial SSU rRNA
Rfam family: Bacterial small subunit ribosomal RNA
Source: RNAcentral